RNAcentral lists this ribosomal RNA (429 nucleotides) under Chloroflexota bacterium. Its description in RNAcentral is "Chloroflexi bacterium partial 16S ribosomal RNA". It matches the Rfam family "Bacterial small subunit ribosomal RNA", at positions 355 to 776 of the family's 1533-position model. Lineage: Bacteria; Bacillati; Chloroflexota. The record is from RNAcentral.
UGGGGAAUAUUGCACAAUGGGCGCAAGCCUGAUGCAGCCAUGCCGCGUGUAUGACGAAGGCCUUCGGGUUGUAAAGUACUUUCAGCGGGGAGGAAGGGAGUAAAGUUAAUACCUUUGCUCAUUGACGUUACCCGCAGAAGAAGCACCGGCUAACUCCGUGCUAGCAGCCGCGGUAAUACGGAGGGUGCAAGCGUUAAUCGGAAUUACUGGGCGUAAAGCGCACGCAGGCGGUUUGUUAAGUCAGAUGUGAAAUCCUCGGGCUCAACCUGGGAACUGCAUCUGAUACUGGGAAGCUUGAGUCUCGUAGAGGGGGGUAGAAUUCCAGGUGUAGCGGUGAAAUGCGUAGAGAUCUGGAGGAAUACCGGUGGCGAAGGCGGCCCCCUGGACGAAGACUGACGCUCAGGUGCGAAAGCGUGGGGAGCAAACAGG